GACACUCUGGUGGCCUAGUGGUUAGAGCAUCCAACUCAGAUGCGUGAGGUUGUGGGUUCAAAAUCCCAGCUGAGUCA
Molecule: non-coding RNA, 77 nt
Organism: Potamilus streckersoni
Lineage: Eukaryota; Metazoa; Mollusca; Bivalvia; Unionida; Unionidae
Source: the annotation of a GenBank genome assembly